Carassius gibelio (silver crucian carp) is the source of this 3035-nucleotide RNA transcript. It is a transcript of the gene named alpha-1,3-mannosyl-glycoprotein 4-beta-N-acetylglucosaminyltransferase B, with no coding region annotated. NCBI's taxonomy places the organism in Eukaryota, Metazoa, Chordata, Actinopteri, Cypriniformes, Cyprinidae. The transcript is spliced from 15 exons. The record is from RefSeq and is a predicted model, not a curated record.
ACACACACACACACCCUUCUGUACACACGGCAUCUGCCUGUACACAGUCUCUCGUGUUCUCGCCCUCCCUCUCAUCUCUCAUGUGCGCGCGCUGUCAUUAACGCACCGCGGCAGCGCACGUCAGACGCGCUCGAGCACACGGUUCGGUUCGGACAUGAUACCGGCGCGGACCCGGAGAUGAGGCUCAGAAAUGGCACCUUCCUAACAGUCUUACUAUUCGGGUUAUGUGGGCUCAUAUCGUUGUCCUGGUACACCGCAUUCAGCAAUUCCAAAGGUAAUGUGGUAGACAUUUACCAGCGGGAAUUUCUGGCCCUGAAAGACCGUCUGCACUCGGCUGAGCAAGAGAACCUCAAACGCUCCAAAGAGCUGAACCUGGUGCUGGACGAGAUCAAGCGAGCCAUCGCUGAGAAGCAAGCGCUGCGGGACAUCAACCGCACCUGGAGCAGUCUGUCAGAUGAGACCAAGCUGAAGCUGUGGAACGUGACCAGCAGUAAGAAUGUCCUCCAGCUGCCCAGCAUCUUCCACCAUCUGCCGCACCUGCUGGCCAAAGAGACCAGCCUCCAGCCGGCCGUGCACAUCAGCCAGGGACGCACCGGAGUGUCGAUAGUGUUGGGGGUGCCCAGUGUGAAGAGAGAGGUGCACUCCUAUCUGACGGACACGCUGAGCUCACUGAUGUCAGAACUGAGUCCGGCCGAGAAGGAGGACUGCGUGAUUGUCGUCUUCAUCGCAGAGACGGAUGAACAAUAUGCAAAUAGUGUUGCUGACAACCUUAAGCGCCUGUUUCCAGGAGAGAUUCAGUCUGGGCUGUUGGAGAUCAUCUCUCCCUCCAUCCAUUUCUAUCCAGACUUCUCUCACCUCAAAGAGUCUUUUGGUGACCCUAAAGAGCGGGUCAGAUGGCGAACAAAGCAGAACCUGGAUUACUGCUUCCUGAUGAUGUAUGCCCAGACUAAAGGGACUUAUUACGUACAGCUAGAGGAUGACAUUGUAGCACGGCCAAACUACUUCACCACGAUGAAGAAUUUCGCCCUGCAGCAGCCGUCAGAGGAGUGGAUGAUCCUCGAAUUCUCCCAGCUGGGCUUCAUCGGUAAAAUGUUCAAGUCAUUAGACUUGCCGUUGAUCGUGGAGUUUAUGCUAAUGUUCUACAAAGACAAGCCCAUUGAUUGGCUGUUGGACCACAUCAUGUGGGUGAAGGUGUGCAAUCCAGAAAAAGAUGCGAAACAUUGUGACAGGCAGAAGGCAAACCUACGCAUCCGCUUUAAACCGUCUCUCUUCCAGCACGUUGGAACACACUCUUCCCUCGCCGGAAAGAUCCAGAAACUCAAGGAUAAGGAUUUCGGAAAGCAGACGUUGCAUAAAGGUCACGCUAACCCGCUAGCUGAGGUCACCACCAGUCUGAAGACGUACCAGCAUUUCACUCUGGAGAAGGCCUAUCUGGGAGAGGACUUCUUCUGGGCGUUCACACCUGUGGCCGGAGACUUCAUACGCAUCCGCUUCUUCACACCUGUCCGAGUAGAGAGGUAUUUCUUCCGCAGUGGAAACAUCGAGCACCCUGGAGACAAGCUCUUCAACACUACGGUGGAGGUUCUUCCUUUCGACAAUAUUCAGUCAGAGAAAGAAGCGCUGAAGGAGGGGAGAGAGAGGACGCCCAAGUACCAGCGCACAGAAGAUGGCUUCAUCAGAAUAGGCCGUGUCUCUCAGGGUGUGUGUUGAUGCCGUCCCUCAGGGAGGUUUGACCAGGGGAUCGCGGAGGGGGAGGUGGACGCUUCGUUCGGUCCGCUGGAGGCUCUGCGGCUCUCGGUCCGGACUGACUCUCCUGUGUGGGUCAUUCUCAGCGAGAUAUUUAUCAAGAAAGCGGAGUGACUGGUGUUCAACAAUACCUCAUGACUUCACCGGGUCUCUGGUGCUCAGCAGCUCCACACGAGCCCUUCACGAGAGUUUCUUUAGCUUGCUCCAAUAGCGCCAGCUGCUGGCGACAAGCUGUAAUAGCAGGUAGAGCGCGCGAGGCGUCAAGACGAACAGCGCGUGCUGUCAGACGCGCCGCACUAGACUGAUGACGCUGUAUUUUGUAAACUGUAUUUAUAUGUGUGUAUAUAUGCCCAUGGUUGAGUUUAUGUAACUACACUGGUCUGUUGUCAAGGGCUUCCUGAGUGGCCUCUCGCCCGCUUCAAGAAACACUUGGACAUUCAACGAAUGCUGCUUUUGGAAUAGAAGACUCUUUAAGUUCCUCCUCGAGAUUCGAUUUUCAAAGUUGAAUUUGUGUUGUUAAUUAGUUGACAAAUGAUUCUGUUUAGGCGGCUCCAGAUGGUGUGUAUUUACAGUAUUUAUGAUGAUACAUUAAGAGCACACACACAGGCCUGUGUUAGGUUGUGUGUUUCCAAAGUCAGUCCAAAAGAUGUGUUCUAAUGAAAGAGAGACCUUUAUUGUAACUAGAGAAUGCCUCAAACUGUUUCUUCUAAAAAUCACUGGACUUUUCUUGAUAUAUUUCAAAUGAGAUCAAUCACAACAAACAAGAGGGAAGCCUUACAUUUUUUAUUAUUCAUAUUAUAAUUUUUUUUUUUACUUUCCAUUCAGACAUGAUUUCUUGCCAUAUGUUGUUUUUCCUCUUCUGCCUUCAUGUGACGCAGUAGUGUGCUGAUGGUUUUACGAUAAGAGUCGGUAGAGUAAACAGAAACAGACCUCUGGGUUAUUAUAUAGAGACACAGAUAGACCCAAACCCUGCCAGAAAUAUGUAUGGUGUGUAAUCUGUACAGCUCAGUGUGAAUCUGGUAUGCUCAGUUUGCUCUCUGAUAAUAGAAAAGAUCUUGAGCUACAAAGCAAAGUUAUCCCCAAAGACAGAAAGAAAAAGAGAAAGUCUGUGCUGUAAGAUAACACUGUCUGACCAACAACAACGCUGAAGUUGUUUUAGAAGUCGAGGAGACAUACAACACCAUCUUUCACUAUCCCCGUCCUGUUUUCUCUUGAUUGAUCCAUGAACUCGAUAAGAAAAUGUAAUGCUCCUGCCAAACAUUUUGAAUAAAGACAAAGUCCAAACUUGA